Molecule: ribosomal RNA, 253 nt
Filed under: uncultured bacterium
Lineage: Bacteria
Description: partial 16S ribosomal RNA
Rfam family: Bacterial small subunit ribosomal RNA
Source: RNAcentral
UACGUAGGUGGCAAGCGUUGUCCGGAUUUACUGGGCGUAAAGGGCGUGCAGGCGGUUUGUUAAGUGCAGGGUGAAAGCUCCCGGCUCAACUGGGAGAGGUCCUUGCAUACUGGCAAACUCGAGGGAGGCAGAGGAAAGUGGAAUUCCCGGUGUAGUGGUGAUAUGCGUAGAUAUCGGGAGGAACACCAGUGGCGAAGGCGGCUCUCUGGGACGGUACUGACGCUGAGACGCGAAAGCGUGGGGAGCGAACAGG